Molecule: ribosomal RNA, 497 nt
Filed under: uncultured bacterium
Lineage: Bacteria
Description: partial 16S ribosomal RNA
Rfam family: Bacterial small subunit ribosomal RNA
Source: RNAcentral
GAUGAACGCUGGCGGCGUGCCUAAUACAUGCAAGUCGAGCGAACAGACGAGGAGCUUGCUCCUCUGACGUUAACGGCGGACGGGUGAGUAACACGUGGAUAACCUACCUAUAAAACUGGGAUAACUUCGGGAAACCGGAGCUAAUACCGGAUAAUAUAUUGAACCGCAUGGUUCAAUAGUGAAAGACGGUUUUGCUGUCACUUAUAGAUGGAUCCGCGCCGCAUUAGCUAGUUGGUAAGGUAACGGCUUACCAAGGCAACGAUGCGUAGCCGACCUGAGAGGGUGAUCGGCCACACUGGAACUGAGACACGGUCCAGACUCCUACGGGAGGCAGCAGUAGGGAAUCUUCCGCAAUGGGCGAAAGCUUGACGGAGCAACGCCGCGUGAGUGAUGAAGGUCUUCGGAUCGUAAAACUCUGUUAUUAGGGAAGAACAAAUGUGUAAGUAACUAUGCACGUCUUGACGGUACCUAAUCAGAAAGCCACGGCUAACUACGUG